RNAcentral lists this ribosomal RNA (440 nucleotides) under uncultured bacterium. Its description in RNAcentral is "partial 16S ribosomal RNA". It matches the Rfam family "Bacterial small subunit ribosomal RNA", at positions 338 to 795 of the family's 1533-position model. The record is from RNAcentral.
CCUACGGGAGGCAGCAGUGGGGGAUCUUGCACAAUGGGGGAAAGCCUGAUGCAGCGACGCCGCGUGGGUGAAGAAGCGCCUCGGCGCGUAAAGCCCUGUUAGCAGGGAAGAAAAUGACGGUACCUAAAGAAGCAGCUUCGGCGAAUUACGAGCCAGCAGGCGCGGUAUUACGUAGGGGGCAAGCGUUAUCCGGAUUUACUGGGUGUAACGGGAGCGCAGACGGCUGUGCAAGCCAGGAGUGAAAGCCCGGGGCUCAACCCCGGGACUGCAUUUGGAACUGGGUGGCUAGAGUGCAGUAGAGGAAGGCGGAAUUCCUGGUGUAGCGGUGAAAUGCGUAGAUAUCAGGAGGAACACCGGUGGCGAAGGCGGCCUGCUGGGCUGCAACUGACGUUGAGGCUCGAAAGCGUGGGUAGCAAACAGGAUUAGAUACCCGAGUAGUC